CUGGGAUACCACUUGGAAACAGGUGCUAAUACCGGAUAACAACAAUAGCUGCAUGGCUAUUGCUUAAAAGGCGGCGAAAGCUGUCGCUAAAGGAUGGACCCGCGGUGCAUUAGCUAGUUGGUAAGGUAAUGGCUUACCAAGGCGACGAUGCAUAGCCGAGUUGAGAGACUGAUCGGCCACAUUGGGACUGAGACACGGCCCAAACUCCUACGGGAGGCAGCAGUAGGGAAUCUUCCACAAUGGGCGAAAGCCUGAUGGAGCAACGCCGCGUGAGUGAAGAAGGUUUUCGGAUCGUAAAGCUCUGUUGUUGGUGAAGAAGGAUAGAGGUAGUAACUGGCCCCUAUUUGACGGUAAUCAACCAGAAAGUCACGGCUAACUACGUGCCAGCAGCCGCGGUAAUACGUAGGUGGCAAGCGUUGUCCGGAUUUAUUGGGCGUAAAGCGAGCGCAGGCGGAAAGAUAAGUCUGAUGUGAAAGCCCCCGGCUUAACCGAGGAAUUGCAUCGGAAACUGUGUUUCUUGAGUGCAGAAGAGGAGAGUGGAACUCCAUGUGUAGCGGUGGAAUGCGUAGAUAUAUGGAAGAACACCAGUGGCGAAGGCGGCUCUCUGGUCUGUAACUGACGCUGAGGCUCGAAAGCAUGGGUAGCGAACAGGAUUAGAUACCCUGGUAGUCCAUGCCGUAAACGAUG
This 687-nucleotide ribosomal RNA is filed under the name uncultured bacterium. RNAcentral describes it as "bacterial SSU rRNA". It matches the Rfam family "Bacterial small subunit ribosomal RNA", at positions 138 to 811 of the family's 1533-position model. The record is from RNAcentral.